AACAAAGCACUUCUUUGUAAAAGCAAACAUUCGAAAUCCAAUUUGAUGUCAUAAUAAGCACUGUUUCUGUGUUAUUAUUGUGAUGCUUUUAAAACUAUUGGAUUUAAAACUAUUCAAGAGCCUUCACCAAACAACUUAAACCUUUGGAAAAGGUGGUCCUUGAUAGAAAAAAAAAUAUUGAACAUUUGCAAGAUACUAUACAAAUGCAUAAACCUGCAAAACAAUCUUUAAUCUCUCUAAAUAAAAAAACUUGAAUCUGGCAACAUGUUAACUUGCCUACUAACCCUCUUAAUGGUUAAUAUCUUAAAUUAAUAAAUCUUAGAUGCUCUCAACAUGAAUUAACAGCAUCUGAUGUUUAUUAAAUUAUAACUAAUAUAAUAAUCAGUGAUUUAAAAACUAAAAUUACGCAUGCAUAUUACACUUGAGCACAGUUUUAUCAUACAAUUGCAAUGGCUCGCUCUUUCGCCAACGCUAAGGUUCUUGAAUAAAAUAAAACAGACGUGGUUACGCGGCAGCAACAGAAAGUGCAAGCAAGGUGGGUUCAAUUAGUGGGAAGAUAACAGCACCAAAAUCAGGGGAAGCAAAAAAUAUUCCCACGGAUUAUUUUAAUAAAUAACUUUGCUUGAUUAAAAAAUUAUUUAAAUAAUUAAGCUUUAUUAAAAAAAUAAUUCAUUAAAAUAAUUCAAGCAAAAAAUCUAGAGUUAUAAACAUGGACAAUAAGUUUGUAAUUUGAAAAUCCAAAUUCCCAAAUUUCAAACCCUAAGAUUUCAAUCAUGUCAAAAUUCCCAAAUUGAAUCCUAAAAUAAAGACAAUAACCGAAUUUCAUCAUGAAUUAAACAUGGUAGACUCUGAUACCACUUGUUAACUAUCCAUGCCAAUUACAUGAUGAACAACCAAGGGCGGAAGCGUACCUGUGGGAAUUGCCAUUGAUGAAAUCCUGGGAUGAUGAUGAUAGAGCCAAUGGGUUGGGUGAUCUUCCUCCGCAAAACACCCUGAAGACCUUGCUCUCUUGAUGGGGAUAGAAAGAACCAGAGAGUUUUCUCCUUUAGGGUUUUGAAACUGAAUAGUCUUGUUGUGUUUGCCUUGGGGACCAUUACCCCUAUAUAUAACUAUUAUUAGUUAUAUCCCAAAUUGCAGUAUUUCC
This 1144-nucleotide long non-coding RNA is filed under the name Cicer arietinum (chickpea). RNAcentral describes it as "long non-coding RNA (CARI_LNC002914)". Lineage: Eukaryota; Viridiplantae; Streptophyta; Magnoliopsida; Fabales; Fabaceae. The record is from RNAcentral.